Molecule: ribosomal RNA, 774 nt
Filed under: uncultured Neocallimastigales
Lineage: Eukaryota; Fungi; Neocallimastigomycota; Neocallimastigomycetes; Neocallimastigales
Description: partial large subunit ribosomal RNA
Rfam family: Eukaryotic large subunit ribosomal RNA
Source: RNAcentral
UACGACUACAUAUCAGGCAUAUCAAUAAGCGGAGGAAAAGAAACUAACAAGGAUUCCCUUAGUAACGGCGAGUGAAGCGGGAAGAGCUCAAAUUUGAAAUCUUCAAGGUUUUACCUUGACGAAUUGUAGUUUAAAGAAGUGUUUUCUGUUGAAGUUUUGGUAAAAGUUCUUUGGAAUAGGACAUCAUAGAGGGUGAGAAUCCCGUAUUUGACCAUUAUUUUCAGCUGUGUGAUACACUUUCAAAGAGUCGGAUUGUUUGGGAAUGCAGUCCAAAAUGGGUGGUAAAUUUCAUCUAAAGCUAAAUAUUGGCGAGAGACCGAUAGCGAACAAGUACCGUGAGGGAAAGAUGAAAAGAACUUUGAAAAGAGAGUUAAACAGUACGUGAAAUUGUCAAAAGGGAAGCGUUUGACACCAGUGUUGUUUUCUCGAAAAUCAAUUAAAAAAAGUUGGAUUUUGUGUUGUAUUGACCUUAACAGCUUGCUUCACUCUUUUCCAGCUUUUUUUAAUGCACUUUUCGUUUAACAAGUCAACAUCAGUUUCUUUUGUUGUAAAAGGGUCAUUGGAAGGUGGCUUUCUCUUCGGAGAAAGUGUUUAUAGCCUUUGAUCUCUGCAAUCGGAGAGACUGAGGUCUGCAGCGUAGAUCCUUCGGGGUUAGAUACAUUUGUGCUAAGCUACAGCUUUUCAUAGACAACUUGUUGACUAUGUUUAGUCUUGUGACUUACCCGCUUAUGCUAUUUUACCUACGCUUAGGAUGUUGAGCGCAUGUCUCUCUCU